Molecule: ribosomal RNA, 298 nt
Filed under: uncultured eukaryote
Lineage: Eukaryota
Description: partial 18S ribosomal RNA
Rfam family: Eukaryotic small subunit ribosomal RNA
Source: RNAcentral
CCCUUAGACACUCUAGGCGGCACGCGCGCUACAAUGGGUGGAAGAACGUGUUACUGCCUCCGAAAGGAGGGGUGAAUCACGAAUUCUUGCCCGUGAAUGGGAUAGUUUGUUGCAAUUUUCGGACUUGAACUAGGAACCCCUUGUAAACAUGCUCAAGAAUAGCGUGUUGAAUACGUCCCUGCCGUUUGUACACACCGCCCGUCGUUUCUUCCGACUGAUACUCAUUGUGAGUUGCAAGGACCCUUUAUUGGGAAAUUGCUGCAAAUGCUUUGUAUUGGAGGAAGAAAAAGUCGUAACA